This 429-nucleotide long non-coding RNA is filed under the name Nicotiana benthamiana. RNAcentral's name for it is "long non-coding RNA (NBEN_LNC034747)". Lineage: Eukaryota; Viridiplantae; Streptophyta; Magnoliopsida; Solanales; Solanaceae. The record is from RNAcentral.
CGGCUAUAUGACCAAAGAUCAGGUCUCCGACCAAACUUCCCUUAGCUACUUUGAAACAACACAUUUCACACUUAAUUAAAAGGGCUUAACGAUGCCAUAGUCUGUACACGCCUGACUUAUCCCUUAUUCAGGAUUGGUUAUUUUCUCAUACCGAAACGAACUUAGUUUCUCUAAUUCCAACCGGAGCGAUGUUGGGAACUUGCACUCCUGAUAACAAACAAAAGCUGGAUUCUAUCUCUUCCUUCUGUGAAGCGUAUCUCUUUGUUGGUUGAUUGGCUUGUGGUGCUGCUCUAACCACGCUGUGGAGUUGAACCACAGUUCUUCCUUACCUUUCGUGGUGAAAUUCCACUUCCCUUUUUCAUAGCUAUUAUGGAGGAACCGCUGCCCUCACUCAAUUCUAAUCUCGAAAUCUUUACCCGAUCAGGAAAU